Molecule: long non-coding RNA, 2044 nt
Organism: Cercocebus atys (sooty mangabey)
Lineage: Eukaryota; Metazoa; Chordata; Mammalia; Primates; Cercopithecidae
Exons: 8
Source: RefSeq, a predicted model, not a curated record
UCUGCACUCCCAUUUUUAUUGUUUUUUGCAGCACUAUUCGUAACAGCCAAAAUAUGUAAUCAACCUAAGCGCUCCCCAAUGGAUGAAUGGAUAAAGAAAAUGUGAUUCAGUCAAACUGCAUUUGUGGAACUGCAUUGUGGAAUUUCACCUGAGGAGUCCCAUCUGUAUGAGGGGCUGAUUCAGCAGAGAGAUUGUGGACUUCAAGCCAAUGCCAUAACGUGAUGAGAUUUUGAGGCUCUUGGAAAGAGGUUGAUAGUCCAGCCAGUCAGAGCUGGUGAAGUAGACCUGCUGUAGAAGGUGUGAAGACCCAGUCCUCCCUCCACAAUUCUCCACCCUUGAAAGGUCGUGUGCGUGUCUGUUCACCCACGAAAGAAGAAGACAUCAAAUGGAUGGCAUCGAUUUCAUCUUAAGAACUCUCCUCCAUUUGCUGCCCUUGUUGAUGACUCGAAUCUAAGAUGACUACUGACAAUCUCUAGGAGAGGAAAUCAUUUCUCACAACCACGUAAGAUGUGCCUGCUUUCCCUUCGCCUUCUGCCUUGAUUGUAAGUUUCCUGAGGCCUCCACAACCAUGCUUCCUACACAGUCUGUGGAACAGAAACAAGAUGUAUUCAAGCAGAUUGGGAAAUAAUGCAUCUUAGCUACAGGGUUUGUCUGGUCACCUCUUGGGAGAAGACACAUCACACUGCCUCACUGCUUUGGCCUCAGGGGCUGGAGAUCAAGACCUACCCAUUGUGAUGAAUAAAUCUGGGCUCUCAGCAAUGCAGGGAGAAAAAGGUUUGCCUAUCAACACUGUGGCAACCAGGUAAUUCUGUGCACAGACCAAGGUAAGAAACUUUGCAGGGGCAAAAAAGUAUCUCCUUGGUGGUUGGGGUAUCUUGGAGGUUGAAAGUGCAUGAAUGGUAACAAGCACUACUGCUGUGCAAAGUGCGUGAGUCCAAUCUGCAGUUCCAUGGUCACCUUAUACGGCUUAGUGUAGCCCUUCAGGGUUCCUGUCAGGGGUUUAUACUGGCCUGCUAAUGCUAAGAGGAACCUGAAAUAUUCCCUCUGGGGAAGUGACCAGAGAGGAUGAAGCAAAAGAAGAAUGCAAGGAACCUGCAGCAGGUGGGGUUAAACCUCUAGAGAAGGGAAGGUAAGAAAUCUCUUGUAUGAGGGAUUGACCUUAACCAGUACCCAAGAUUGGAAAUACCCCAAGUAAGGCAGGGAGUAAGAAGGAUAGAGCUAACAACAAUCGUAUUCCCCUUGAUAGUCCCCUAGGUCUCAUGUUAAAAUAUCGGAAAGGGGGGUGUGCCCAAGAUGGCCGAAUAAGAAGAGCUCCAGCCUCCAGCUCCCAGCGUGAGCAACACAGAGGACGGGUGAUUUCUGCAUUUUCAACUGAGGAUCUCCGGUUCUCAACUGGCUAAAGUGACGUUCCCUAGUCUUUCUCAACAACUCGUGUGUGAACCAGGGAAUCCACAUAGUAUCUGAAAUAUAUAGGUGCUAUCAUUAUCACUACAACUACCCUUAGGCUCAAGGUGACACUACCUCAUAGAGAAGACUCGCUUCCUUGAGAAAAGAGAAGACACUGAAAAGGAGCCUCAACAGACUGGCAAACUUCAAGCCAUGACUGGGAACAGCCUGCUUCCUGCUGCUGCCAUAAGCCUAGUACUCUCUCUCCCUUCAUGGAAGUAGUAGCUCUGGUCCAGUUUACUGCAUACGCGUCACACCAUCCUAACAAGGCCUUUCCUGAGCAUCACCCAUCCCUGGCUAGCCACUGUCUCUUACAGUCUUGUCUUCUCCCCUCACUGGCACACACAAAAAAAUACCAACUUUAUCUACCUGGCUGGGGCUUUCUCCUGUUUGGGGGUUUCCUGUAUGUAGCUUCCCUUUUGCUUCAGUCUUUGUCUAAACUGAGCACGUGUUCUCUUUCCAUUCCCUGGACCAGAUUUUCUUUUCAUUAAUUGGUAGGUCUCUUCUCUUCCUCCAGGGCAUCAGGUGCUUUUACCUAUUCGUUCACUUUUCCAAUCUCCAUCUGCUCACUUUGAAAUAAAUUGCUUGCUUUUUCUUA